UGGAAGCUGCUCUCUUUCAUCUCCAUGGU
This 29-nucleotide non-coding RNA is filed under the name Mus musculus (house mouse). Lineage: Eukaryota; Metazoa; Chordata; Mammalia; Rodentia; Muridae. The record is from RNAcentral.